This 42-nucleotide ribosomal RNA is filed under the name Fusarium oxysporum. RNAcentral's name for it is "partial 28S ribosomal RNA". RNAcentral also lists the same sequence under 3 other names. Lineage: Eukaryota; Fungi; Ascomycota; Sordariomycetes; Hypocreales; Nectriaceae. The record is from RNAcentral.
CCUCGGAUCAGGUAGGAAUACCCGCUGAACUUAAGCAUAUCA